UGGGAUUUGAUACGUGAGACUUCUGUCAGAAUUUGAGGUCUCACCACUAAUAAUCCCUAGAUCAUGAUUGCUCUCUGAUGACUGCAGUCGUUAAAGAUGUUGUCUGCAGACAGAUACGGAGCCCACAGAG
Molecule: non-coding RNA, 130 nt
Organism: Frankliniella occidentalis (western flower thrips)
Lineage: Eukaryota; Metazoa; Arthropoda; Insecta; Thysanoptera; Thripidae
Product: small Cajal body-specific RNA 8
Exons: 1
Source: RefSeq, a predicted model, not a curated record